GAUGAACGCUGACAGAAUGCUUAACACAUGCAAGUCAAUUUGAACUUCGGUUUGGGUGGCGGACGGGUGAGUAACGCGUAAAGAACUUGCCUCACAGAUAGGGACAACAUUUGGAAACGAAUGCUAAUACCUGAUAUUAUGAUUAUAUGGCAUCGUAUAAUUAUGAAAGCUAUAUGCGCUGUGAGAGAGCUUUGCGUCCCAUUAGCUAGUUGGAGAGGUAACGGCUCACCAAGGCGAUGAUGGGUAGCCGGCCUGAGAGGGUGAUCGGCCACAAGGGGACUGAGACACGGCCCUUACUCCUACGGGAGGCAGCAGUGGGGAAUAUUGGACAAUGGACCAAGAGUCUGAUCCAGCAAUUCUGUGUGCACGAUGAAGUUUUUCGGAAUGUAAAGUGCUUUCAGUUGGGAAGAAAAAAAUGACGGUACCAACAGAAGAAGUGACGGCUAAAUACGUG
RNAcentral lists this ribosomal RNA (454 nucleotides) under uncultured bacterium. RNAcentral describes it as "partial 16S ribosomal RNA". It matches the Rfam family "Bacterial small subunit ribosomal RNA", at positions 28 to 507 of the family's 1533-position model. The record is from RNAcentral.